This 441-nucleotide ribosomal RNA is filed under the name uncultured bacterium. RNAcentral's name for it is "bacterial SSU rRNA". It matches the Rfam family "Bacterial small subunit ribosomal RNA", at positions 958 to 1398 of the family's 1533-position model. The record is from RNAcentral.
AACGCGAAGAACCUUACCUACCCUUGACAUCCUAAGGAUUCUGCAGAGAUGUGGAAGUGCCGAAAGGAACUUAGAGACAGGUGCUGCAUGGCUGUCGUCAGCUCGUGUUGUGAGAUGUUGGGUUAAGUCCCGUAACGAGCGCAACCCUUAUCCUUAGUUGCCAACACGUAAUGGUGGGGACUCUAGGGAGACUGCUGGUGAAGAACCGGAGGAAGGUGGGGACGACGUCAAGUCAUCAUGGCCUUUAUGGGUAGGGCCACACACGUGCUACAAUGGUCGGUACAGAGGGAAGCGAAGCGGUGACGUGGAGCGAAUCCUAGAAAGCCGAUCGUAGUCCGGAUUGAAGUCUGCAACUCGACUUCAUGAAGUUGGAAUCGCUAGUAAUCGCGAAUCAGAACGUCGCGGUGAAUACGUUCCCGGGCCUUGUACACACCGGUACUA